CUAAAGGCCCUUUUAAGGGCCCCCAGGACGUCAAGAAAAGAGCGA
Non-coding RNA from Felis catus (domestic cat), 45 nucleotides. NCBI's taxonomy places the organism in Eukaryota, Metazoa, Chordata, Mammalia, Carnivora, Felidae. The record is from Rfam.